RNAcentral lists this ribosomal RNA (274 nucleotides) under uncultured bacterium. RNAcentral describes it as "partial 16S ribosomal RNA". It matches the Rfam family "Bacterial small subunit ribosomal RNA", at positions 335 to 624 of the family's 1533-position model. The record is from RNAcentral.
UUCCCUACGGGAGGCAGCAGUGGGGAAUAUUGCACAAUGGGCGAAAGCCUGAUGCAGCAACGCCGCGUGAAGGAAGAAGGCCUUCGGGUCGUAAACUCCUGUCCUUGGGGAAGAAGAACUGACGGUACCCAAGGAGGAAGCCCCGGCUAACUACGUGCCAGCAGCCGCGGUAAUACGUAGGGGGCAAGCGUUGUCCGGAAUUACUGGGUGUAAAGGGAGCGCAGGCGGGAAGCCAAGUCAGCUGUGAAAACUACGGGCUUAACUUGUAGACUGC